UCUAAAUAUAACCUGUUCAAUUUAUAUAAUGCUACUUGUGGCCUGACUGCUUGCAGCCAAUUCUCUGGAGGAAGAUCACAUCUCCAACCCCCAGCUUUCCUCACUUGCCUGUCUUUCUCCUAUGACUGCUCUUCCCAAGAACACUGGCAGCCGAAAUUCUUCAAAAGGCAUUUUAAAAUAGAACAGCUAUGUGAUUAAUUGUAGGCUGUUUGUGAUUCUUGCAAAGUCUAACAUCCAGCUUUGUUUCAUUUAUUGGAACCCUGUGAUAAAUUGUCUGAAGAUACAUGAAUCUAGGAGUCACGAAUACUGCAGAGAAAAAGGCAAGAGAAGACUGUGGAAACUCCAUGAGAGGGAACACCAACUGCUGUAUAGGACAUGGUAUUGUAACCAUGACCACAAUCCAGAUGUGAUUGCCUGAAUAGACUCUGAAAAGUAAAUGAAUUUGAAGAGGUACGAAAGAGUAUGGGAAGAGCUACCUGGGAAGACAAAAAGAGAUCAGCAUGACUGGAAGAUGGGAAUGCCUUCAUAGUGCAUUAUAUUCAGUUGUGUUGCCAACAAAUUAAACAAGUGACAAGUAUCUUUGAAUCUAGCUCUUAGUAGUGUAAAUUACUUGAGUUUUCCCCAAGAAACAAAUGUUUCUGCAUGGAAAAAAAAUGAAGAAAUUAUCUUCCUAAAUAAUUCAGGAGAAAUGUCAAGAGGAAUAGAAUUUCUCAGUUGAGAAGCUUCAGACAAAAUGUUAUAAAGUGAGAAGUUGUUGGAGAUGGCAAGGAGGAGUUUGCAAGACGACAACUCCAAUAAGCUCUAUGCACGCAGCCUGAGGACAUUCAUCAUGCAAGCAAAUUCAGUGAUGGCAGUCUCCUUGUUAGAGGAUUCUUUACGGCUUUAUAUUUUGAGCUCCAAUCCACUUGGUAAAUGACCUAACCUUUAAGUGGCAAGAAGUGAUGCUUGUUUUACUUUAGAUGGAUGCUUCCCAGGAGAAAAUCACAUAGAGAAGAGGUAACUAUCAAUAACCUUCAGACUCAUAAUUUGACUUUUGGAUUAUUGGCUUUAGUUUAGUGAUUCAAAGUCAUGUUUUGUUUCAGGAAAGACAACGACGUGAUUAAUGUACUCAGGAUAGGAAUCUAGAUUUAUGGAGAAGAAAAGGGCCUGUAAUAUAUUUAAUUUAUUAUUGUAUCGAGCACAAAUUUUGUAAGUGAAAUGGUUACAUUCUGUCACUUUCUUGUAGCUUUCUUAAAAAUAGAAUAUAGUAUUAACAGUGAUGUAGACACAACUGUAAUAUCAUCAAAGUUGGAUAAAUGAAGUAAUUGAGGCAGUAAGUAUGGGACUCUAGACUGUUAUGGCCAGGAACAAACAUCUGAAUAAUAAAUAUCAAAAGAAUG
Molecule: small RNA, 1379 nt
Filed under: Rattus norvegicus (Norway rat)
Lineage: Eukaryota; Metazoa; Chordata; Mammalia; Rodentia; Muridae
Description: uncharacterized LOC103691446
Source: RNAcentral